This 451-nucleotide ribosomal RNA is filed under the name uncultured bacterium. RNAcentral's name for it is "partial 16S ribosomal RNA". It matches the Rfam family "Bacterial small subunit ribosomal RNA", at positions 29 to 523 of the family's 1533-position model. The record is from RNAcentral.
AACGAACGCUGGCGGCAUGCCUAACACAUGCAAGUCGAACGAGUGCCUUCGGGUGCUAGUGGCGCACGGGUGCGUAACGCGUGGGAAUCUGCCCUUUGGUCUGGGAUAACCGUUGGAAACGACGGAUAAUACCGGAUGAUGGCGUAAGUCCAAAGAGUUAUCGACAGAGGAUGAGCCCGCGUAGGAUUAGCUAGUUGGUGGGGUAAAGGCCUACCAAGGCGACGAUCUUUAGCUGGUCUGAGAGGAUGAUCAGCCACACUGGGACUGAGACACGGCCCAGACUCCUACGGGAGGCAGCAGUGGGGAAUAUUGGACAAUGGGCGAAAGCCUGAUCCAGCAAUGCCGCGUGAGUGAUGAAGGCCUUAGGGUUGUAAAGCUCUUUUACCAGGGAUGAUAAUGACAGUACCUGGAGAAUAAGCUCCGGCUAACUCCGUGCCAGCCGCCGCGGUAA